This 240-nucleotide ribosomal RNA is filed under the name marine bacterium A21. RNAcentral describes it as "partial 16S ribosomal RNA". The record is from RNAcentral.
CUGGGCCACACGGGUGGUGCAAUGCCCGUUCAUAGAGAGCAUCCGUCUCGUAGGUAGGCCGAAAUCGAGGCGCACGCUUCGCAGUUGGGUUCGGGGUCUCAACUCGACACUCUGGGACAAGAUUCAUUACGUGUCGCAUUCUUUCAAAUCCGGUGACGCGUUCCUGGGCACUGCCCCUCCCACCAGCGAGCAAUUAAACACGGAGACGCUGAGUUCUCUCGUAGGCAGCGGUCCACGGUA